This 369-nucleotide ribosomal RNA is filed under the name uncultured bacterium. Its description in RNAcentral is "bacterial SSU rRNA". It matches the Rfam family "Bacterial small subunit ribosomal RNA", at positions 527 to 896 of the family's 1533-position model. The record is from RNAcentral.
GUAGGCAGCGAGCGUUGUUCGGAGUUACUGGGCGUAAAGGGUGUGUAGGCGGUUCUUUAAGUUUGGUGUGAAAUCUCCCGGCUCAACCGGGAGGGUGCGCCGAAUACUGAGGGACUAGAGUACGGGAGAGGAAAGUGGAAUUCCUGGUGUAGCGGUGAAAUGCGUAGAUAUCAGGAGGAACACCGGUGGUGUAGACGGCUUUCUGGACCGUAACUGACGCUGAGACACGAAAGCGUGGGUAGCAAACAGGAUUAGAUACCCUGGUAGUCCACGCCCUAAACGAUGCAUAUUUGGUGUGGGUCAUUCAGUUGAUCCGUGCCGGAGCUAACGCGUUAAAUAUGCCGCCUGGGGAGUACAGUCGCAAGGCUG